RNAcentral lists this ribosomal RNA (465 nucleotides) under uncultured bacterium. RNAcentral describes it as "bacterial SSU rRNA". It matches the Rfam family "Bacterial small subunit ribosomal RNA", at positions 917 to 1382 of the family's 1533-position model. The record is from RNAcentral.
GGGCCCGCACAAGCGGAGGAGCAUGUGGUUUAAUUCGAUGAUACGCGAGGAACCUUACCUGGACUUGAACGUAUUAGGCAUAAUUUGGAAACAGAUUAGUUAGCAAUAACCUGAUACGAGGUGCUGCAUGGUUGUCGUCAGCUCGUGCCGUGAGGUGUCAGGUUAAGUCCUAUAACGAGCGCAACCCCUACACAUAGUUACCAACACGUUAAGGUGGGGACUCUAUGUGGACUGCCGGCGCAAGCUGAGAGGAAGGUGGGGAUGACGUCAAAUCAGCACGGCCCUUACGUCCAGGGCGACACACGUGCUACAAUGGCAGGUACAGAGGGCAGCUACACAGCGAUGUGAUGCGAAUCUCGAAAGCCUGUCUCAGUUCGGAUUGGAGUCUGCAACCCGACUCCAUGAAGUUGGAUUCGCUAGUAAUCGCAGAUCAGCCAUGCUGCGGUGAAUACGUUCCCGGGCCUU